UGAGAAGAUUUGGAGGUCCAUAGGCAUAUU
RNAcentral lists this non-coding RNA (30 nucleotides) under Rattus norvegicus (Norway rat). The record is from RNAcentral. Lineage: Eukaryota; Metazoa; Chordata; Mammalia; Rodentia; Muridae.